This is a long non-coding RNA of Silurus meridionalis, 1222 nucleotides long. RefSeq lists it as uncharacterized. Lineage: Eukaryota; Metazoa; Chordata; Actinopteri; Siluriformes; Siluridae. The transcript is spliced from 2 exons. The record is from RefSeq and is a predicted model, not a curated record.
CACGAACCGGACAUCACUAUUGGCUAAUGUUGCUGCUAGUGUUUAUGCACUAUUAAGUGUGUAUAUUGGUUUGUAGCCAGGUUGUGUUUAGGAUUGGCGCCACGUUGCUGUUGGGUACAGGCUGUCUUUCACUCCAGUCUGUGUAUGCGCUGAUGGAACACCUGCAUAUUUGCAGCUUGUUGCUUUUGGAUAAAACUGCAAGUAACUGAACCUGUGUGUUUAACAAUCUACUUCUGGGUAUGUAUAUCUAGUCCCUCGAGCAUUAUUUGGAUUGGUGUCUCUGACUGAUUUGUCUUUAUUUUUGGCUAUUUUAGUGGGGGUAAUUGCUCGCGAGCAUUUCGUCAUUGUGGACUGCAGGGCAAAUAAGUUACUCCUUAUACCACGUUAAGACUGCACUGUUUGUUCUGCUGCUAUUUUUUUAUUUUAUUACUCAGUGAUCAUCUGUAUUGGAUUUGUCUCUUUUUGUUUUGUUGCCCCACGCUCAUGUUGGUGGCUUAAAGGAAGGCUAGUUCAUGGAGGAACACUCAAUAUCUGGUACCUGGGAAGAUUAAGUUUUUGUUCCCUGUUUGACUGUAUUGAUUUGAGUAUUUAUUGAGAUCUUUCAGUUUCCUCCUUGAUUAAAUUUGCUGGUUUUUGUAAUUUGAUUUGAACCCUGAUUUUUCGUUUGUUUGUUUUCAUUUUUUUCCCCUUUCGGUUUUGUUCUUUUUUUGAACUCUUUGAGUCAUUGUGACUAGGUUCAUGAGCUUGUGGUUUUCAACCUAGCGGAGUUCCUGCCUCUCUGAACUUUUGUGGCCAGUAAAUGGUCCAUACUUGUCAUUCAUGGUUUGAACUUGAUCCAAUGCAAAUUGUUGAAUCGUAUGUGUGUUUUGAUUAAUUGUGUUUUUUAUACUCUUGGUUGUUUUUGUUUAUUUCAGGAGCUGAAGGCCUCCAGUGAGGGAAGCUAGCUGUUUUGACCCUGUGGUGGUGGUGUUUGUCUCACAGAGUGUUUUUGCCGUGACCAUUGCAUCCCUCUCACUUAGUGUGCGUGUGUGGCGUGAGUAUGUGUGUUUGCGUGGAGCAUACUUGGGUAAGUGGUGUGUCUUAAGAUACUCACUGUGCAGCUAGCCACCCUACUGGUAAGCCUCAGCCUGAAAGUAUUUUAUUUAAUUUCUGCCUGGUCAACAGUUUUCUAUAUUUUAACUAAUUAUUCUUAUUGUGAAAUAAAAGUAUUUUUGUAUUUAUA